RNAcentral lists this ribosomal RNA (468 nucleotides) under uncultured bacterium. RNAcentral describes it as "partial 16S ribosomal RNA". It matches the Rfam family "Bacterial small subunit ribosomal RNA", at positions 28 to 507 of the family's 1533-position model. The record is from RNAcentral.
GACGAACGCUGGCGGCGUGCUUAACACAUGCAAGUCAAACGGAAAGGCCCUGCUUUUGUGGGGUGCUCGAGUGGCGAACGGGUGAGUAACACGUGAGUAACCUGCCCUUGACUUUGGGAUAACUUCAGGAAACUGGGGCUAAUACCGGAUAGGAGCUCCUGCUGCAUGGUGGGGGUUGGAAAGUUUCGGCGGUUGGGGAUGGACUCGCGGCCUAUCAGCUUGUUGGUGGGGUAGUGGCUUACCAAGGCUUUGACGGGUAGCCGGCCUGAGAGGGUGACCGGCCACAUUGGGACUGAGAUACGGCCCAGACUCCUACGGGAGGCAGCAGUGGGGAAUAUUGCACAAUGGGCGGAAGCCUGAUGCAGCAACGCCGCGUGCGGGAUGACGGCCUUCGGGUUGUAAACCGCUUUCGCCUGUGACGAAGCGUGAGUGACGGUAAUGGGUAAAGAAGCACCGGCUAACUACGUG